This 439-nucleotide ribosomal RNA is filed under the name Blastocystis sp. RNAcentral's name for it is "SSU rRNA". It matches the Rfam family "Eukaryotic small subunit ribosomal RNA", at positions 477 to 933 of the family's 1831-position model. Lineage: Eukaryota; Bigyra; Opalinata; Blastocystidae. The record is from RNAcentral.
ACAAUGCGGGACUAUUAGUCUUGCAAUUGGAUUGAGAACAACGUACAACUCUUAUCGAUAAGCCAUUGGAGGGCAAGUCUGGUGCCAGCAGCCGCGGUAAUUCCAGCUCCAAUAGCGUAUAUUAACGUUGUUGCAGUUAAAAAGCUCGUAGUUGAAGUGAGGGAGUGUGUGUUCAUGAGAGCUAGUCUCGAGUGUUCACAACCUCCCCCCUCCAAUCGGUGUAGUGGGGUAUUCAGUUAUUUCACUACUCCUUUGGUCGUUUACUGUGAGAAAAUUAGAGUGUUCAAAGCGGGCGUUUGUUUGAAUAGAUUAGCAUGGAAUAAUGAUUGAAGGCUUUCGUGUUCGAUUUGAUUGGUUUGUUCAUGGAAGCAAGGUUAAAAGGAACAGUUGGGGGUAUUCAUAUUCACUAGUUAGAGGUGAAAUUCUCGGAUUUAUGGAA